RNAcentral lists this ribosomal RNA (1346 nucleotides) under uncultured bacterium. RNAcentral's name for it is "partial 16S ribosomal RNA". It matches the Rfam family "Bacterial small subunit ribosomal RNA", at positions 28 to 1381 of the family's 1533-position model. The record is from RNAcentral.
GACGAACGCUGGCGGCGUGCUUAACACAUGCAAGUCGAACGGAAAGGCCCUGCUUUUGUGGGGUGCUCGAGUGGCGAACGGGUGAGUAACACGUGAGUAACCUGCCCUUGACUUUGGGAUAACUUCAGGAAACUGGGGCUAAUACCGGAUAGGAGCUCCUGCUGCAUGGUGGGGGUUGGAAAGUUUCGGCGGUUGGGGAUGGACUCGCGGCUUAUCAGCUUGUUGGUGGGGUAGUGGCUUACCAAGGCUUUGACGGGUAGCCGGCCUGAGAGGGUGACCGGCCACAUUGGGACUGAGAUACGGCCCAGACUCCUACGGGAGGCAGCAGUGGGGAAUAUUGCACAAUGGGCGGAAGCCUGAUGCAGCAACGCCGCGUGCGGGAUGACGGCCUUCGGGUUGUAAACCGCUUUCGCCUGUGACGAAGCGUGAGUGACGGUAAUGGGUAAAGAAGCACCGGCUAACUACGUGCCAGCAGCCGCGGUGAUACGUAGGGUGCGAGCGUUGUCCGGAUUUAUUGGGCGUAAAGGGCUCGUAGGUGGUUGAUCGCGUCGGAAGUGUAAUCUUGGGGCUUAACCCUGAGCGUGCUUUCGAUACGGGUUGACUUGAGGAAGGUAGGGGAGAAUGGAAUUCCUGGUGGAGCGGUGGAAUGCGCAGAUAUCAGGAGGAACACCAGUGGCGAAGGCGGUUCUCUGGGCCUUUCCUGACGCUGAGGAGCGAAAGCGUGGGGAGCGAACAGGCUUAGAUACCCUGGUAGUCCACGCUGUAAACGGUGGGUACUAGGUGUGGGGUCCAUUCCACGGGUUCCGUGCCGUAGCUAACGCUUUAAGUACCCCGCCUGGGGAGUACGGCCGCAAGGCUGAAACUCAAAGGAAUUGACGGGGCCCCGCACAAGCGGCGGAGCAUGCGGAUUAAUUCGAUGCAACGCGUAGAACCUUACCUGGGUUUGACAUGGAUCGGGAGUGCUCAGAGAUGGGUGUGCCUCUUUUGGGGUCGGUUCACAGGUGGUGCAUGGCUGUCGUCAGCUCGUGUCGUGAGAUGUUGGGUUAAGUCCCGCAACGAGCGCAACCCUUGUUCACUGUUGCCAGCACGUUAUGGUGGGGACUCAGUGGAGACCGCCGGGGCCAACUCGGAGGAAGGUGGGGAUGACGUCAAGUCAUCAUGCCCCUUAUGUCCAGGGCUUCACGCAUGCUACAAUGGCUGGUACAGAGAGUGGCGAGCCUGUGAGGGUGAGCGAAUCUCGGAAAGCCGGUCUCAGUUCGGAUUGGGGUCUGCAACUCGACCUCAUGAAGUCGGAGUCGCUAGUAAUCGCAGAUCAGCAACGCUGCGGUGAAUACGUUCCCGGGGCU